UACGGGGGGAGCAAACGUUGUUCGGAAUUACUGGGCGUAAAGGGCUCGUAGGUGGCCAACUAAGUCAGACGUGAAAUCCCCAGGCUUAACCUGGGAACUGCGUCUGAUACUGGAUGGCUUGAAUUCGGGAGAGGGAUGCAGAAUUCCUGGUGUAGCGGUGAAAUGCGCAGAUAUCAGGAGGAACACCGGUGGCGAAGGCGGAUCUCUGGGCCUUACCUGACGCUCAGGCGCGAAAGCUAGGGGAGCGAACUGG
Molecule: ribosomal RNA, 253 nt
Filed under: uncultured bacterium
Lineage: Bacteria
Description: partial 16S ribosomal RNA
Rfam family: Bacterial small subunit ribosomal RNA
Source: RNAcentral